RNAcentral lists this ribosomal RNA (458 nucleotides) under uncultured bacterium. RNAcentral's name for it is "partial 16S ribosomal RNA". It matches the Rfam family "Bacterial small subunit ribosomal RNA", at positions 338 to 795 of the family's 1533-position model. The record is from RNAcentral.
CCUACGGGGGGCUGCAGUGGGGAAUAUUGCACAAUGGGGGAAACCCUGAUGCAGCGACGCCGCGUGAGUGAAGAAGCGUUUCGGCGCGUAAAGCUCUGUCAGCGGGGAGGAAACACGGUUCGCGAGAGCCGCGGACGGUACCCGACCAAGAAGCCCCGGCUAACUACGUGCCAGCAGCCGCGGUAAUACGUAGGGGGCAAGCGUUAUCCGGAUGCACUGGGUGUAAAGGGGGCGUAGACGGCGAGAAAAGUAUGGAGUGAAAGGCCGGGGCCCAACCCCGGGACUGCUCGGGAAACUGCCUGGCUGGAUGACAGGAGAGGGAAGUGGAAUUCCUAGUGUAGCGGUGAAAUGCGUAGAUAUUAGGAGGAACACCAGUGGCGAAGGCAGCUUACUGGACUGUGACUGACGUUGAGGCCCGAAGGCGUGGGGAGCAAACAGGAUGAGAUACCCGUGUAGUC